UACGGAGGAUCCAAGCGUUAUCCGGAUUUAUUGGGUUUAAAGGGUGCGUAGGCGGGCCCUUAAGUCAGUGGUGAAAGUUUGCAGCUCAACUGUAAAAUUGCCAUUGAAACUGAGGGUCUUGAGUGUAAAUGAGGUAGGCGGAAUGUGUUGUGUAGCGGUGAAAUGCUUAGAUAUAACACAGAACACCAAUUGCGAAGGCAGCUUACUGGGAUACAACUGACGCUGAGGCACGAAAGCGUGGGGAUCAAACAGG
This 253-nucleotide ribosomal RNA is filed under the name uncultured bacterium. RNAcentral's name for it is "partial 16S ribosomal RNA". It matches the Rfam family "Bacterial small subunit ribosomal RNA", at positions 524 to 776 of the family's 1533-position model. The record is from RNAcentral.